Molecule: ribosomal RNA, 465 nt
Filed under: uncultured bacterium
Lineage: Bacteria
Description: partial 16S ribosomal RNA
Rfam family: Bacterial small subunit ribosomal RNA
Source: RNAcentral
AAUCAACGCUGGCGGCGUGCCUCAGACAUGCAAGUCGAACGAUUAAACUUCCCUUCGGGGAAGAUAUAAAGUGGCGCACGGGUGAGUAACACGUAGGUAAUGUACCUUUGGGUGGGGAAUAACUUAGGGAAACUUAAGCUAAUACCGCAUAAUGCAGCGGCUCCUUCGGGAGACAGUUGUUAAAGAUUUAUCGCCUAAAGAGCAGCCUGCGGCAGAUUAGCUAGUUGGUAAGGUAACGGCUUACCAAGGCUACGAUCUGUAUCCGACCUGAGAGGGUGGUCGGACACACUGACACUGAAUAACGGGUCAGACUCCUACGGGAGGCAGCAGUCGGGAAUUUUGGGCAAUGGGCGAAAGCCUGUCCCAGCAACGCCGCGUGAAGGAUGAAGUCUUUCGGGAUGUAAACUUCGUAAGAAUAGGAAGAAUAAAUGACGGUACUAUUUGUAAGGUCCGGCUAACUACGUG